UGCCCUGGAUGCAAGGCGUAAAAAGGCACAUCCAAAGGGACGUGAACCCGUAAAAAACGUA
RNAcentral lists this non-coding RNA (61 nucleotides) under unclassified sequences. RNAcentral's name for it is "GP20-b RNA". It matches the Rfam family "GP20-b RNA". The record is from RNAcentral.